This 92-nucleotide ribosomal RNA is filed under the name Enterobacter cloacae. Lineage: Bacteria; Pseudomonadati; Pseudomonadota; Gammaproteobacteria; Enterobacterales; Enterobacteriaceae. The record is from RNAcentral.
CCUGGCGGCUUUAGCGCGGUGGUCCACCUGACCCCAUGCCGAACUCAGAAGUGAAACGCCGUAGCGCCGAUGGUAGUGUGGGGUCUCCCCAU